GCGCCCGCCGAGUCUAGUGGUCCUAAACAUUUCACAAUUGCGCUACAGAACUGUUGAACUGUUAAGAACCACUGGACCCAGCGCGC
This 86-nucleotide microRNA precursor is filed under the name Pan troglodytes (chimpanzee). Its description in RNAcentral is "miRNA". It matches the Rfam family "mir-203 microRNA precursor family". Lineage: Eukaryota; Metazoa; Chordata; Mammalia; Primates; Hominidae. The record is from RNAcentral.